UUGGAGGAAUGUAAGCGAAAGCUAAUUGUAUGAAAAGCUAAUGUAAAUACAAUAUCGACUAUGUCGACUAAAGUUCUAGGUAGAGUAAUGAUAAUGACAUUCUUUACCUAUAUGUCUUGACCAAGUCACGUGCCAGCAGUCGCGGUAAUACGUGGAAGACUAGUGUUAUUCAUCUUUAAUAGGUUUAAAGGGUACCUAGACGGUAAAUCAAGCCCCAAAAGGGUACUGAUAAACUAGAGUUUAAUGUGAGGGGGUGAUUAGUACUAAUGGAGUAGAGAUGAAAUUCUGUCAUACCAUAAGGAGACAGGUAUCGGCGAAAGCAACCCUUUAUGUAAAAACUGACGUUGAAGGACGAAGGCUUGGGUCAUAAACAGGAUUAGAUACCCUAGUAUUCUGAGCAGACAACGCUGAAUGCCAUAGAUUAGAUUUAUUUUUUCUCUAUAAAUGAAAGUGUAAGCAUUCCACCUCAAGAGUAA
RNAcentral lists this ribosomal RNA (476 nucleotides) under Fulgidea oligospora. RNAcentral's name for it is "SSU rRNA". It matches the Rfam family "Bacterial small subunit ribosomal RNA", at positions 353 to 883 of the family's 1533-position model. The record is from RNAcentral. Lineage: Eukaryota; Fungi; Ascomycota; Lecanoromycetes; Umbilicariales; Umbilicariaceae.